AGUGCAGGCGGCUUCGUAAGUCGGAUGUGAAAGCCCUGGGCUUAACCUGGGAAUGGCAUUCGAUACUGCGCGGCUAGAGUCUGAUAGAGGGAAGUGGAAUUCCAGGUGUAGCGGUGAAAUGCGUAGAGAUCUGGAGGAACACCAGUGGCGAAGGCGGCUUCCUGGAUCAAGACUGACGCUGAGGCUCGAAAGCGUGGGGAGCAAACAGGAUUAGAUACCCUGGUAGUCC
This 229-nucleotide ribosomal RNA is filed under the name uncultured bacterium. RNAcentral describes it as "partial 16S ribosomal RNA". It matches the Rfam family "Bacterial small subunit ribosomal RNA", at positions 568 to 796 of the family's 1533-position model. The record is from RNAcentral.